This 753-nucleotide ribosomal RNA is filed under the name Pseudomonas sp. Its description in RNAcentral is "bacterial SSU rRNA". It matches the Rfam family "Bacterial small subunit ribosomal RNA", at positions 56 to 800 of the family's 1533-position model. The record is from RNAcentral. Lineage: Bacteria; Pseudomonadati; Pseudomonadota; Gammaproteobacteria; Pseudomonadales; Pseudomonadaceae.
UGCAAGUCGAGCGGCAGCACGGGUACUUGUACCUGGUGGCGAGCGGCGGACGGGUGAGUAAUGCCUAGGAAUCUGCCUGGUAGUGGGGGAUAACGUUCGGAAACGAACGCUAAUACCGCAUACGUCCUACGGGAGAAAGCAGGGGACCUUCGGGCCUUGCGCUAUCAGAUGAGCCUAGGUCGGAUUAGCUAGUUGGUGAGGUAAUGGCUCACCAAGGCGACGAUCCGUAACUGGUCUGAGAGGAUGAUCAGUCACACUGGAACUGAGACACGGUCCAGACUCCUACGGGAGGCAGCAGUGGGGAAUAUUGGACAAUGGGCGAAAGCCUGAUCCAGCCAUGCCGCGUGUGUGAAGAAGGUCUUCGGAUUGUAAAGCACUUUAAGUUGGGAGGAAGGGCAGUUACCUAAUACGUGAUUGUUUUGACGUUACCGACAGAAUAAGCACCGGCUAACUCUGUGCCAGCAGCCGCGGUAAUACAGAGGGUGCAAGCGUUAAUCGGAAUUACUGGGCGUAAAGCGCGCGUAGGUGGUUCGUUAAGUUGGAUGUGAAAUCCCCGGGCUCAACCUGGGAACUGCAUUCAAAACUGUCGAGCUAGAGUAUGGUAGAGGGUGGUGGAAUUUCCUGUGUAGCGGUGAAAUGCGUAGAUAUAGGAAGGAACACCAGUGGCGAAGGCAACCACCUGGACUGAUACUGACACUGAGGUGCGAAAGCGUGGGGAGCAAACAAGAUUAAUAUACCCUGGUUGUUCUACGU